GGGGUCAAACUGUACGUUGUAUGUGUAAACAAUGAAAUCCAUAAGCGUAUAGCUUUUCCCCUU
Molecule: microRNA precursor, 63 nt
Filed under: Drosophila mojavensis
Lineage: Eukaryota; Metazoa; Arthropoda; Insecta; Diptera; Drosophilidae
Description: Dmo-Mir-965_pre stem-loop
Rfam family: mir-965 microRNA precursor family
Source: RNAcentral